Phycodurus eques (leafy seadragon) is the source of this 9127-nucleotide long non-coding RNA. RefSeq lists it as uncharacterized. The record is from RefSeq and is a predicted model, not a curated record. The transcript has 3 exons. Lineage: Eukaryota; Metazoa; Chordata; Actinopteri; Syngnathiformes; Syngnathidae.
CUUGUGAUGAAGUGGAAACUCACAUUUCCUGUUUGUGUUGCGGCUUGGGGGGAACUUUUGGCGGUGGCGCUUUUUUCGGAGACACUGACGCGGAAGUGGUGGCGGACCCUCCUCCGCCCUCCCUUGCCCCGUCGCCACCCCUGGUGUGGUGGUGUCCUGCGGGUGGUGCGUCAAAGUCCCCGAGCCCGAGAGGCUCGCUGCUGAUGAUGGCGUAGCCCUGGUAGUCCUCAUCGCCCGCCUCCCCUUUGCUCUGAUCGGUCGUUCGCCUGGUGCGGCCAGGCGUCUCCUCCCCCUCCCGGGGCCGCGAGCGCUGACUGUCGACGUCGCUUCCCGCGGGCUCAGGCCGCGGCAGGAAGCUGAGGGAGGAGUUGAACGAGCUGAGGCUGUAGACGGAGACGGCGUCGCCGGACAGCGCGUCCCGGCAGAUGGCGGAUGGGGAGGACGGAUGAGGCGGCGAGGCGGGAAAAGACGGCGGCUGAGAUGCCGACGGGGAGGACGAGAGAGACUCCAGAGAGGAGGAGCUGGACACGCUGGCACCAUUGGGAAGAUCCGUGGAGUCUGAAACAAGACACGGAAGAAGCACGUCACACACGGCGGAUUUCCUGUACUACGGGAUUGGUCCCCAGUCAACAGGGAUUGCACACCGGUAAACCCGUUUUGGUUGCCAGUCAAUGUGGACAGUUCGCAGGUCGAUCAGGUUUGGGUAAAUAGGUCAGAAUUGUUUUUGUUGAACUGGUUGUAGUUAACUUGAAUUGCUCCCCGGUCAAUCUGGACUAGUCAAACUGGAUCGGUUGCCUGCGUAUACCCAUUGUGUGUCAGUCUGGGACACACGAUGGACGUGUUCUCACCAAAGAGUACCAGGAGAGACUGAAGGGCGAAGUUGAUGGCGCGCCUGCUGGCCUGCUUCCCCGUCUUCAACAGAACCUCCUCCCGACCCACCUCGCACAGAUCGAACCCUGGCACACAUUAUGAUCUGUUGUGAUGCCGUCUCUGGCUUGAAUUGUUCCCGUUGUGUUGUUUUCUACCCAGCGCGGCAAGGAACUCGUGGCAGCCCGGCAGCCUCCACACGCGCACGCUGAGGGAGGUUUGGACGGCGGCUGACUGCCGGUCGCGUUCGCUGUCGGGCGACGGCAGCUGCGGCAGCACCUGGUGGAGCUGGAGGCGCAAAGUCAUUUCGAAGGAUACUAAGGGAAAGCAAUUGCGAAGGAUACUCAAGGAAAGUCACUGCAAAGCAAAUGAAGGCGAUGCGGGUUACCUUGUGUACGAGCUGCUCUCCCGCUUCAGGUGCUGACAGCAGUUUGCAAAGAGCCUGAAACGCUGCAGCGCUCAGACCUCAACACACACACAAACAGGAGAUAAUCAACUUGGAGCCUUAACCCUGUCAGUAACCCUACAUUUGAAACCGUAACACGUGUUUGAAAACCCAAAUGUGAAACCCCAAACCGAGACCGAAACCCUAACCCUGGCUUGGAACCAUCAUUUGUAAACCUAACCUUGUCUUGAAACCCUUCUUUCCAACCCUAACUGUCUCGAAACCAUCUUUGAAAGCGUAACAUGGGCCUAAAACCUAAAUUCAAAACUGGAAACCUUUUUUGAAACCUUAAUUCUUAAAUCUGUCUUGAAACCCUACUUUGAAACCCCACUUACCCAGCAGGGCCUGCAUGGUGAGGCUGCAGCGUCGCAGCCGUUCUCCAGGAUCCGACGUGGGGAAGAAGACGGCGGCGGGGAGGCCGGAACCGCCGAGGUCCAAACGGAAACCCAACGCCGUCAGCAGGGAUCGCCACCCGGGAACACCGCCGACCUUUUAACACGAGCGCAGCAGACAAGUGAAGGUCGUCGUGGAGAAGGACCCUCAGGGCGUCCCUGGCCCGGUCGGCGUGCCGGAGGACCUCCGCCAAGGCCUGUCGCGCCACGGACUCGGGGCCGCUCACCUUCACGUCGCCGCCGAUCAGAAGGUAACCUGAGCGACGACACGUAGCGCUUGUUCGGAUUUCAAAACACGACAUCACCAAAGAGGGCGAGCCUGGAGCCGGCAGGGUCGAUGCACUCGUGCAACGGACCACCGGAGGCCGCCAGAAAACGCCAAGACCUUCAAUACACUCGAUGUGUCCGGAAAUCAAAAGUGGAACUUUACAUCAUCGCAUGACAUCAUGCAUAAAUUGGGAUUUCAAGCCUGGGUUAAGGUUUCAAAAUAGGGUUUCGAGGCCAGUCUAAGGUUUUAAGUUAAAGUGUCAAGAGAGGUUAGGGUUUUAAAUUACAGUGUAAAACAGGGGUUUCAAAUUACCACUAGGGGUUUCAAAUUAGGAAUAAAGUCAGGGUAAGGGUUUUAAAGUUGGGUUUCAAGCCAGUGUUAGGGUUCGAAAGUAGGGUUAAGGUUUCAAAUUAGUGUUUCAAAGAAAGGUUAAGGUUGAGGGUUUUAAGUCAUUCACUAGGGUAUAAAGCUGGGGUUAUGGUUUCAAAGUGGCGUUUCAAGCCAGGGUUAGGAUUUGAAGUGAGGUCGUAGGGUAUCGAUGAUAUGAAAUGUGCUCAGUCACCUGCCCAGUUUGAGGGGUGUGCGAAGUCCUUGUUGUUGUGUAGCGUCCUCAUGGCGUCAUUGAGCGCGGCGCUGCAGGGGGCGCCAUUGAGCAGAGCCGUGUAGAAGGUCCGCAUGAAGAGUUUGGAGGCAGGGGGGCGGAGUCGGCCACAGAGACACGCACACGCAUCCGACGCCCGCCGACAGCAGGGCUCCGGUCAGGCCCGACAAGCCGUCACACGUCACCCGGACGCCACACUCGGGGAACGACCUGGGAAAUGAGGAGGAGGGGAAACUUGAAAAUCCUUGUAAUUGCUACCCCUGGUUUUAAGACGUAAUUUGAAACCCUAAUCUUAGUUUGAAAUGCUGAAUCUGUCUUGAACCCCUGAUUUGAAACACUAACCCUUGUUGAAGAUGCUGGUUGUAAAACCCUGACUUUUGUUGGAAACCCCUCUUAGGGUAUAACCCGGGAGUGGGUGGACGUCAGAGACGUAAGAGCGUUGAAAAGACUUUGCAAAAACCUUAAACACCAACCUGAGGACCACCAGCUUGACGCUCAGGUUGCGCUCCAAGAUAUCCGCCGCGGUGAGGAGGAAAUCUCCAAGCGGCGGACCGCUGCACGCGCUCUCACAUUCGCUGUCCUCAUCCUCACAAGCCUUCUUCCCUCUAUGUUUGCGCGCCGCACUUGAAGCCAUCAUCUGCCGGCCCCCCCCCUCCUCCUCCUGGGCGGCGGCUCGUUCCCCACCCGGGGCGAACACCAGGGCGGCGAGCUUCCAGGAAACGUGAGUGGCAAAGUGAACGCACUGCGCCCGAGCGAGGGCGGCGAGGGCAGCUUCCUUUGUGGCGUUGACGCCGGUGAGCGGGCGACACCCCAGCUGCUCCCCCAGCCGCAGAGCCUCAUCCCGGGCAGAAGGCAGCGGCCCCCGCAACCAGCGCCGCAUCAGGCCGGGCGGCAGGAGGGGCGCCCCCACCACGGCGGACACAGGAGCCACCGUCCCAGCAGGGCGAGGGGUCACCGGCGUGGGAACGCUUCCCGGAAGCUCGCAGGCUCGCUAACGAGGGCACGCAAAGCAGACUGAACAUCUCGUAGAGGAACUCGUUGGACGAGCUGCCUUUGAGCGAGGCGAAGGGUACCAGGUACAAGUCGCCCUCCAGGACCAGGACCAGCUGCCGUUGUUGGCCCGCUGGACCGCUGCUGUGCAGCAGGGCCUGAUACAAAACAAAAAUCACACACAAACCAAACAUCAGUGGCGGGGGACUCAAGUUACUUGACUUGACUCGACUCUGAUUUAAGUCGCAAAUUUCAGGACUUGGGACUUGUUUGGAACUUGAUGGCUAAGACUUGAAACUCACUUAUAAUUCGCACGUGACUUACGCCCAUCUCCGAGAAAUUAUCCGACGAGCUUUCUUGUCAUGAAUACGUACCGCCUCCAUCGGCGCAAUGAGCAAGUCGUAGAGGGCGCUGAGAGGAGAACGUUCGAUACCCGUCCGGCAGGAAGGAGAAGACGAGCCGUCCUUCGCCGAAGAAACGCUGUUGAUGCUGCUCACGCUGCGGCAGCUUCUGUUCACAAACACAAAGCAGAAAACCACUUUCACACAGCCCGUCUAACCUUUGCGUUACGGAAUGAGGAGACAAGUUUGACCCACAAAUCUUCCAGCUUUGGAGGUCGAAUCAGAGGCGGACCAGAUGCAGAGUGUGUGUGUGUGUGUGGGGAUCACCUGUGUGUGAGGGGAUAGUGGAAAGCCUCUUUGCUAGCAUGCUGAGCUUGUGCAGUCUGUUUGUACGCUCUGCACAGCAGGCACACUGCUGUGCUUGCUUGCUUGGGUAGCAUGCUAGGCUAGCAGGUAAAGGGAGGAGGCACCUGUUGAAGAUGUUGUUCCUGGAUACCAUGCGCAGGUAGCCGCUGGGGUCGUCAUCUGAGCUCAGUUUUUCGCUGAGCUCGUCAAAGUGUAGCUCCGGAACAUCUCCCGCUUCGCUCUCCGUCUCGCUGCCCGCAUGAAGCCUGUAAGGAAAUAUUCUGCAAUAAUGAAUUACACUAACUAAAUGACAUAUGAUGGUUAGCACGACCGCCUCGCAUUUCAGAGGUUGUGGGUUUAAAUCCAGGCUCCGGCCUUCCUGUGCGGAGUUUGCAUGUUACCCCCAAGCUUGUGGAGAUUGUCUCCGGGUGCUCCGGUUUCCUCCCACAUUCCAAAAACCUAAACUUCCCUCUAGUGCAGUAAGUGGUGCUGGAAAAUAAGGGACCAAAACUGCAGAGACCCCACCCCAAGAGUUCAUUGGCAUUGAGGAGGUGCUACCCCGCUAACAGGGAUUUUUUUGGGUCCGAAUAGAGAACAACCGGUCCAUCUCCUUCUGCUUAUUCGGGGUCAGGUCGUGGGGGCAGCAGCCUAAGCAGCUCUUCCACGGGGAUCCCGAGGCAUUCCCGGGCCAGCUAACAGAUAAGUCUCCUGUGGGGCCUCUAAGUUUUGGGAACACCGCACCAGGAAAGUGUCAAGGAGGCAUCCUAACCAGAUGCCCGAGCCGUCUCAUCUGGCUCCUCUCGAUGUGGAGGAGCGGCGGCGCUACUCUGAGCCUUUCCCGGAUAUAUCGAGGUUCUCACCAUAACUCUACGGGAGAGCCGGGACAUUUUUUGUCCGCUUGUAACUGUGCUCUUGUUAUUUCCGUCACUACCCACAGGUCUAGACCAUAGUGGGAACAUGACGCCAACUGGUAAAUCGAGACCUUGUUUCGCCUUUCAGCUCAGCUCCUUUUUACCGUGACAGACUGAUGCAGCGUCUGCAGUACCGAUCGGCCUUGUCCAUCUCCUGCUUCAUUCUUCUCUCAUUCCUGAACAAGACCCCAAAACACUUAAACUCCUUUCGAGGCAAACUGUAAAUGGUUGCACAGGAACCGAACAGCCCAUAUCAGCGAGUCUGGUGCCCCAUAGACCCGGAGCACCCCCACAGGACUCCUCAAGGGACACGCAAGUAUGACAUUACCUGUUCUGAUGAACUCUGGAACAAACUUUUUGCAACAGAUCCCGUGGCCCAAACCUCCAAACGCUUUUAGUUCCGGUGUAAAGUUGUGUAGUUGGCGUAGUUUGUCACCUGCUGAGGUAUCCGUCAACUCCCAGAACCUCUCUAGCGUUGGAGAUGUACUGCUCCAGAGAAAGUAGACCGCCGUCCAACGAGCUCCAACCGUCGUCUUGGAACUCUGGCGCAUCAGCUCCCACACGGGCCUGGUUGAAUUUGACAAUGCCUGCGGUGGCACCGUGACAGUGGGGGUGAGAGGCAUAAAAAGGGGUGACGACCGUGUUAAAUGUGAGAUGUUCUGCUACCUGAACCAGGAGCCAGCAGCCAGCUGUACAGGAAGCCUCCCGCCACUGAAAAGUAUAGCACCAUGGCCUUCAGGGAGUUGACAGUCUCCCUAAUGUGCUCCACCGUAACAGGAGCGUACUGGUCUGAGCCUUCCGGCCGCUGGCGUCCUUUCUGACGUUCCACCAGGAGGUCGGCGAAGGCCCGCGUUCGGCCUCGCUCCGCUAUGGAGAGCGCCUCCUCGUGGCGCCCUGUGGACGAGCGGUAAACUCAUGACAAAUAUGUGAAGAUCGAGGAGACAGUAAUGGGUGGUCAGUGCCAGAGAGGCCUUCCCUGCUGGCCCACAUUUGCAACACAAUUUCUACUAUUUGUUACACGAAAUUGUAUUCAUUCACUGCUCCAGAUGAUGUGUGUGGCACAGUUACAUACUUUUGUUGUGUUUUUGUCAAUUUGUAAUAAUUUCAAUGUGGUAGUAGCGCUAUUAAGAGAUGGAUUAAGUAGGGUAAGUCCCGACUGAAGGCCCAGGUACCAAAUGCAUGGCCCGCCACUGCGUGGAGAUGAUCGCCUACCGAGGCUGACAAGGACUCUCUGGAGAGCCUGGUACGAGCUGCUCUGCAGGUCAAAGAGGGAAAGCUUGUAGUCUGGACUGUGCUGCAUCUCGCGACGAAUACUCUCAAAGAGAAUCGAUGCUCGGUACAGCUGAAACACCCACAACAAUCGAUCCUAACCACAUCAGAGCCAUAUGUUGUUACGCUAACCACUGGAGGCUGUGAGCUACAGACCUGGUGCUGGGCCUCCUCCAGGUUUCCAUCAGCCCAAAGAGACAAGCCGAGACGGUGGCGUAGCUUGGCCUCGUCUUCUCUGCGAGCCAACUGCUCGGCCAGGCGCAGUCCUGAAAGCAAUCAAAGGCUAAUUUGGCAAUCAUUCAGUGGUUGCCGAUUCCCUGAUUACGACAUAAGGAUUUUUACAAGCUGCAAGGUAUAGUUGAGUCAUCAGUCAAGGGAGUGAUUCCGAACAAAGCCAAAAAGCUGUCCGGAUGUCUUGAGGUCGCCGUUACGUUCCUCACCUUCCUGCAGGUACAUCACGGCCUGCGUGUAGUUGCCCAGCGCGUGGUGUACCCUCCCCAGGCUCCCGUAUGCCAACGUUUUGGCCACCAAGUCGUUGGUCUGUGCCGCCAUGCUAAGGUGCUGCUCCUGGAAAACCAGGGCCCUCUCGUAGUUGCCCAGAGCCUCGUAGGUCACUCCUAGGUUUCCGUAGGCUCGGGUUUGGUUCCUCACGCAGCCCUUCUGCUCCGCCAUGUCCAGAGCUCUUUGGUGCCACUGCCGCGCUGUCAUGUAGUCGGCCAUCAAUUGGUAAACUCCACCGAGUGAGUCGCUGGCCUGCGCUUCCAGAGAUUCAUCCUGAUGGGGAAAACGGGCUUGACUUGAUUGCGGGAGCCAGGAUUUUAAAUGACAUGUACGGUGGUACCUUGAUUAACGAAUGCCCCAACUAAGAGAUUGUGGAGUUACGGCCGUCACCUGAUCAAUUUUUGCUGUGUUGUGAGCAAAUAUUUGACUUAUGAAUAAGCUUCAGACAUUCCAGCACUAGGUUGCGUCAAUGUUGGCAGGUAUUAAGUCUAAGUCUAAGUCUAAGUCCAGAUGUUGGGAAGUUUCCUGCCGACAUCUAGCGGUGGAGUGUCUGAAAGCAGAUGUCUGAAAACGUGUGGCCUGUUCAUUGAGUUGAGUGACAGCUACAAGGGUGCUUCUGCGCUUGAGCCAAGAAAGAUGAACCACCGCUCACCCCGGUUGAGCGAGCGAUGCCGAGUUGGUGCUCCAGGCAGGUCAAGGCCUGCUCGUAGUUUCCCAGCUGACUGUGCAGGUCGCCCAGUUCGCCGUAGGCCUGUGCCUUCCCACCUGCCGCUCCGCCCAUCUCGUGGGCCAACACCAGCCGCUUCUCCAAGCACACCAAAGCUUGCUGGAGGUUGCCCACAGACCUGCGCAGAAGGACAGGAAACACAAUCGUCAUUCUGGAAAUGUUCCACCGCUUUGCAACCCCACUCCCCAACACGCCAUGAGACCGAGUCGCAAGAUACCUGUGAGCAUUGCCAAGUCCUCUGUAGGCUUUCUCCUGGUCCUGGACUUGCUUGAGACUUUGAGCCACCGUCAGGGCCUUGUCAUAGCACUGAAUUGCCUCCUCAAAGUCUCCCAGGGCGUCGUAACAGUCUGCAAGGUUACCGUAAGCCUUUCCGCGAUCCAGGAUGCCCUCCCUGGAGCUCACCUGCUGCAACAUGGCUAGCUGCUGCUCCAAGAAGCCAAUGGCCUCCUCAAAGUGGCCCAUGUUCAUCUUGGCGAUGCCCAUGUUCCCGUGGACCCGGGCCUCCAGGCGGGCGUCGUUGAGCCGUUGCGCCAGGCCCAGCUGAGCCUCGUAGCACAGCAGGGUUGUGCCGUAGUCUCCCAGGGCCAUGUGUACGCCGGCCAGGCGACCCAGGGCGUGGCACUCCCCCCGAUGGUCGCCAAGAUCCUUGCGCAGGGUCAGCUCCUGGCUGUGGAAGGACAAGGAUGUGUCCAGCUGGCCAAGCAACCUGACGGGGGCACAGCGGGUCAGACAGCAACACAAGGGCUGUUUGGACACCAUAAUCACCGUGUCGGGAUUUUGACAUCGUGGACUGUAGAGUUCACUCAGUCAAAUGACGAAUAGUUUUGGAACACUACUCAGGCGCCGUUAAUGACAUCAUUGCUGUUGCAUAAUCCAAAUUUACCAGAUCAAUGCUCGCUGGAGAAGCUUCUGUCAUAAUUAUUUUUUGUUACUAAUUCAUUCAGUGACCAAGCUCAUACGUAAGUGAAUUUACUCGCAAACCAAAUAAAUGUUGCCCAUAUAAGUGAAUCGAAAUUCAAUUCAAUUAAUCUCCCCCAAAAAUGUACAUUUUUUUUGUGAGGUGUACAACUGUUUCACGAAGUGUGAUUACUAUACAUUGGGACAAGCUAAAAUAUCGACUGACACAAAAUGUCAGGGCUGCUGUUUCAGCACCCUGAGUCCAGCCCGUGUGUGUGUGUGUCAUGAGUGCUUUGCAGGGUUGGCGUGUUGGAGUCUAGCAGCUGCACCUUGUCAUCCUAAUUACGCCCGACUGCUCUUAAGACGCUGUGGGCGUCCAACUCGUCGCCAGACUAUCAACGCUCUACGUCGAUCUGCCAUCUGCCCUUGCUCCCUGCAAACCAGUGCUCACCUCUUGCAGCCCACCGACAACCAGGACGCCUACCCUGCCAGACCCAAUCUAAAUCCCGGAUUUAGUUCUCAGAGUUCCUUUGUUCUCUUCCGAGCUGCAAUAAACUUUUGUUCACAAACUCA